Molecule: ribosomal RNA, 406 nt
Filed under: uncultured bacterium
Lineage: Bacteria
Description: partial 16S ribosomal RNA
Rfam family: Bacterial small subunit ribosomal RNA
Source: RNAcentral
AAUAUUGCGCAAUGGAGGAAACUCUGACGCAGCGACCCCGCGUGAGCGAUGCAGGUCUUCGGAUCGUAAUGCUCUGUCCUUGGGGCAGACGUUCGUAGGAUUUGACGGUACCCGAGGAGGAGGCCCCGGCUAACUACGUGCCAGCAGCCGCGGUAAUACUUAUGGGGCAAGCGUUGUCCGGCAUUAUUGGGCGUAAAGGGUGCGGAGGCGGCUUUUUAAGUCAGAUGUGAAAGACCACGGCUUAACCGUGGGGUUGCAUUUGAAACUGGAAGGCUUGAGUAUCGGAGAGGGUAGUGGAAUUCCCAGUGUAACGGUGAAAUGCGUAGAUAUCGGGAGGAACACCAGUGGCGAAGGCGGCUUUCUGGACUGUAACUGACGCUGAGGCGCGAAAGCUGGGGUAGCGAAC